Molecule: ribosomal RNA, 519 nt
Filed under: Triticum aestivum (bread wheat)
Lineage: Eukaryota; Viridiplantae; Streptophyta; Magnoliopsida; Poales; Poaceae
Description: partial small subunit ribosomal RNA
Source: RNAcentral
AUGCCUUUUGGUUUAUGUAAUGCGCCUGCUACCUUUCAAAGAUGCAUGAUGGCUAUAUUCUCUGACUUUUGUGAAAAGAUUUGUGAGGUAUUCAUGGAUGAUUUCUUAGUUUAUGGAUCCUCCUUUGACGAUUGCUUGAGCAAUCUUGAUCGAGUUUUGCAGAGAUGCGAACACACUAGUCUCGUCUUGAAUUGGGAAAAGUGCCACUUUAUGGUUAAUGAAGGCAUUGUCUUGGGGCAUAAAAUUUCUGAAAGAGGUAUUGAAGUUGAUAAAGCUAAAGUUGAUGCUAUUGAAAAGAUGUCGUGUCCCAAGGAUAUUAAAGGUAUAAGAAGUUUCAUUGGUCAUGCCGGUUUCUAUAGGAGGUUCAUUAAGGAUUUUUCUAAAAUCUUUAGGCCUCUGACUAAUUUAUUGCAAAACGAUAUUACUUUUGUCUUCGUUGAUGAUUGUGUUGAAGCAUUUGAAAUACUUAAGAAAGCUUUGAUUUCUGCACCUAUUGUUCAACCACCUGAUUGGAACUUA